This 377-nucleotide ribosomal RNA is filed under the name uncultured bacterium. Its description in RNAcentral is "bacterial SSU rRNA". It matches the Rfam family "Bacterial small subunit ribosomal RNA", at positions 521 to 896 of the family's 1533-position model. The record is from RNAcentral.
UAAUACAGAGGGUGCGAGCGUUGUCCGGAAUCACUGGGCGUAAAGGGCGCGUAGGCGGUCUGGUAAGCGUGUGGUGAAAGCUCGGGGCUCAACCCCGAGUCGGCCGUGCGAACUGCGAGACUGGAGCAGAUCAGAGGCAGGCGGAAUUCCGGGUGUAGCGGUGGAAUGCGUAGAGAUCCGGAAGAACACCGGUGGCGAAGGCGGCCUGCUGGGAUCUUGCUGACGCUGAGGCGCGACAGCGUGGGGAGCAAACAGGAUUAGAUACCCUGGUAGUCCACGCCGUAAACGAUGGGCACUAGGUGCUUGGGGGAGCGACCCCCUGAGUGCCGGCGCUAACGCAUUAAGUGCCCCGCCUGGGGAGUACGGCCGCAAGGCUG